GGCUUUAUAGUCUAAAAAAGAUUAUAGACUGCAAUUCUAUAGAUAUGUAAUUUUAAUUAUAUUAAGGCUU
This 70-nucleotide transfer RNA is filed under the name Caenis sp. JYZ-2018. RNAcentral's name for it is "tRNA-Cys". The record is from RNAcentral. Lineage: Eukaryota; Metazoa; Arthropoda; Insecta; Ephemeroptera; Caenidae.